CCAAAGGCUCUUUUCAGAGCCACCCACACAUCUCAGUAAAAGAGCU
This 46-nucleotide non-coding RNA is filed under the name Marmota monax (woodchuck). It matches the Rfam family "Histone 3' UTR stem-loop". Rfam says of the family: The mRNAs of metazoan histone genes lack a poly-A tail. 3' end processing occurs at a site between a highly conserved stem-loop (modelled by this family) and a purine rich region around 20 nts downstream (the histone downstream element, or HDE). The record is from RNAcentral. Lineage: Eukaryota; Metazoa; Chordata; Mammalia; Rodentia; Sciuridae.